UAAUUACAAUAUUCUAUGUUGGAUAAAAAAUAAUUUAUUCCCUUGCAUUACAACUUAUCAGUAUCACUUUCAGUUAAUUCGUAUCAUAUAACAAUUCUGACUCAUUAUUUAUUAACUUCUGACUUUCUAAACAGUCGGGUGAUUAGAAAACUAGUAAAAAUUUUUGCUGAUGUUAACGACUAAACAGCAAAAAGAUACAGAAAGUUAAUAACAUGAUAAUCUAUAUAAAAAGGAUGGCAUCAUCCGGAUCAACAUCACCUGUUGUCAUGGUAAUGAAGACGGUGCCAUAUAAAAAUUCACGUUCAUGAUGGGAAUAGCAAAAAUGUUACUUAAAGAAAAAGGCGAAGAUAAAAUUUAUUUUGGAAACAUGUCAGAUUUUCUAAUUCUCCUGACACGCUUGUCUUGGUUAACAUGUCCAUUAAUGAAAAAAGAAGAGAAAAGAAAGCGAACUUUGAUUUUCGACAGUGAAUAACGAAUAGACACAAUAGACUGUGAAUAGUCUUCAUCCUGUUGAAAGCCCAUCUAAACAAAGCUCUACAUCCAGAACAAUUAUAAAGAUGGUUUCUAUCAUAAUAUGAAUUAUAAAGUACUUACCUUGAAAUCUUACACCAUUUCUGCGCACCACAACUCUCCUGAAUUCGGCUCCAACAACUUGAUCACCAUAAACAACUCCUCUGGCAUCGGU
Long non-coding RNA from Centruroides sculpturatus (bark scorpion), 685 nucleotides. RefSeq lists it as uncharacterized. The record is from RefSeq and is a predicted model, not a curated record. Lineage: Eukaryota; Metazoa; Arthropoda; Arachnida; Scorpiones; Buthidae. The transcript has 3 exons.